This 462-nucleotide ribosomal RNA is filed under the name uncultured bacterium. RNAcentral describes it as "partial 16S ribosomal RNA". It matches the Rfam family "Bacterial small subunit ribosomal RNA", at positions 28 to 507 of the family's 1533-position model. The record is from RNAcentral.
GAUGAACGCUGGCGGCGUGCUUAACACAUGCAAGUCGAGCGGAAAGGCCCUUCGGGGUACUCGAGCGGCGAACGGGUGAGUAACACGUGAGUAACCUGCCCCAGACUUUGGGAUAACCCUCGGAAACGGGGGCUAAUACCGGAUACGACACAGCUUCGCAUGGGGUCUGUGUGGAAAGUUUUUCGGUUUGGGAUGGGCUCGCGGCCUAUCAGCUUGUUGGUGGGGUGAUGGCCUACCAAGGCGACGACGGGUAGCCGGCCUGAGAGGGCGACCGGCCACACUGGGACUGAGACACGGCCCAGACUCCUACGGGAGGCAGCAGUGGGGAAUAUUGCACAAUGGGCGGAAGCCUGAUGCAGCGACGCCGCGUGAGGGAUGACGGCCUUCGGGUUGUAAACCUCUUUCAGCAGGGACGAAGCGUAAGUGACGGUACCUGCAGAAGAAGCGCCGGCCAACUACGUG